Molecule: ribosomal RNA, 558 nt
Filed under: Ceriporia purpurea
Lineage: Eukaryota; Fungi; Basidiomycota; Agaricomycetes; Polyporales; Irpicaceae
Description: eukaryotic LSU rRNA
Rfam family: Eukaryotic large subunit ribosomal RNA
Source: RNAcentral
CUGCGAGUGAAGCGGGAAAAGCUCAAAUUUAAAAUCUGGCAGUCUUUGAUUGUCCGAGUUGUAUUCUAGAGAAGUGUUUUCCGCGUUGGACCGUGUACAAGUCUCUUGGAACAGAGCGUCAUAGAGGGUGAGAAUCCCGUCUUUGACACGGACUACCAAUGCUUUGUGAUGCGCUCUCAAAGAGUCGAGUUGUUUGGGAAUGCAGCUCAAAAUGGGUGGUAAAUUCCAUCUAAAGCUAAAUAUUGGCGAGAGACCGAUAGCGAACAAGUACCGUGAGGGAAAGAUGAAAAGCACUUUGGAAAGAGAGUUAAACAGUACGUGAAAUUGUUGAAAGGGAAACGCUUGAAGUCAGUCGCGUUAGUCAGAACUCAGCCUUGCUUUUGCUUGGUGCACUUUCUGAUUGACGGGCCAGCAUCAGUUUUGACUGCAGGAGAAAGGUCAGAGGAAUGUGGCAUCUUCGGAUGUGUUAUAGCCUCUGAUUGUAUACUGUGAUUGGGACUGAGGAACUCAGCACGCGCAAGCUGUGCUUAGGAUGCUGGCGUAAUGGCUUUAAACGAC